Molecule: unclassified non-coding RNA, 289 nt
Organism: Callithrix jacchus (white-tufted-ear marmoset)
Lineage: Eukaryota; Metazoa; Chordata; Mammalia; Primates; Cebidae
Rfam family: Metazoan signal recognition particle RNA
About the family: The signal recognition particle (SRP) is a universally conserved ribonucleoprotein. It is involved in the co-translational targeting of proteins to membranes.
Source: Ensembl
GCCGGGUGCAGUGGCACGUGCCUGUAGCCCCAGCUACUCGGGAGGCUGAGGCUGGAGGAUCGCUUGAGCUCAGGAGUUCCAGGGUGCAGUGCGCUAUGCCGAUCGGGUAUCUGCACUAAGUUCGGCAUCAAUAUGGUGACCUCUCGGUGGGGGGAGGGGGCACCAGGUUGCCUGAGGAGGGGUGAACCAGCCCAGGUCGGAAAUGGAGCAGGUCAAAACUCCCAUGCUGAUCAGUAGUGGGAUCACAACUGCACUCUAGCCUGGGCAACAUAGCGAGAUCCCAUCUCUU